GUACUCACUUUGACAACACAUAGGCUAAAAUGGGAAUCAUACAGAGAAGAUUAGCACAGUCCCCGAACAAGGAUGACAUGCAAAUUCAUGAAGCAUUCCAUAUUUUU
This is a small nuclear RNA of Cebus imitator (Panamanian white-faced capuchin), 107 nucleotides long. The record is from RefSeq and is a predicted model, not a curated record. Lineage: Eukaryota; Metazoa; Chordata; Mammalia; Primates; Cebidae.